UACGGAGGAUCCAAGCGUUAUCCGGAUUUAUUGGGCCUAAAGCAUCCGUAGCCGGUUCUACAAGUCUUCCGUUAAAUCCACCUGCUUAACAGAUGGGCUGCGGAGGAUACUAUAGAGCUAGGAGGCGGGAGAGGCAAGCGGUACUUAGUGGGUAGGGGUAAAAUCCGUUGAUCCAUUGAAGACCACCAGUGGCGAAGGCGGCUUGCCAGAACGCACUCGACGGUGAGGGAUGAAAGCUGGGGGAGCAAACCGG
RNAcentral lists this ribosomal RNA (253 nucleotides) under uncultured bacterium. RNAcentral describes it as "partial 16S ribosomal RNA". It matches the Rfam family "Bacterial small subunit ribosomal RNA", at positions 524 to 776 of the family's 1533-position model. The record is from RNAcentral.